GACGAACGCUGGCGGCGUGCUUAACACAUGCAAGUCGAACGGAAAGGCCCUGCUUUUGUGGGGUGCUCGAGUGGCGAACGGGUGAGUAACACGUGAGUAACCUGCCCUUGACUUUGGGAUAACUUCAGGAAACUGGGUCUAAUACCGGAUAUGAGCUCCUUCUUCAUGGUGGGUGUUGGAAAGUUUCUGCGGUUGGGGAUGGACUCGCGGCUUAUCAGCUUGUUGGUGGGGUAGUGGCUUACCAAGGCUUUGACGGGUAGCCGGCCUGAGAGGGUGACCGGCCACAUUGGGACUGAGAUACGGCCCAGACUCCUACGGGAGGCAGCAGUGGGGAAUAUUGCACAAUGGGCGGAAGCCUGAUGCAGCAACGCCGCGUGAGGGAUGACGGCCUUCGGGUUGUAAACCGCUUUCGCCAGGGACGAAGCGUGAGUGACGGUAAUGGGUAAAGAAGCACCGGCUAACUACGUG
This 468-nucleotide ribosomal RNA is filed under the name uncultured bacterium. RNAcentral describes it as "partial 16S ribosomal RNA". It matches the Rfam family "Bacterial small subunit ribosomal RNA", at positions 28 to 507 of the family's 1533-position model. The record is from RNAcentral.